Long non-coding RNA from Oreochromis aureus, 1009 nucleotides. NCBI's taxonomy places the organism in Eukaryota, Metazoa, Chordata, Actinopteri, Cichliformes, Cichlidae. The record is from Ensembl.
ACUCCUCUGGGAGAUGAGGACACACCCACAUCUGUUCCAUACUGCAGCCAUGGAUGGUGUUACGGCUCUGAGUCAGCUUUGGGCCAUCAGACGCACACACUGGAAAACCAGCGCCUGUACUUCAUGCACGAGAGACGGCCUCAGUGAUAAUUCAUCAGCAGCUGUGAAGAGAUGUAUUUGAAUAUCUUCUGGUUCCACUUUUCUUAACCUGGAAGCUGAGGAUGGCUGAUUCCUGACAAGGACACACACCUCAGCGCUUAUCAUGGGUGUUACAUCCUCUGUGCCGCAAUUCCAGAGAAAACGAGAGAGCAACAACCACUCAUUAAGACCAGCCAGAAAUCUGUCACUUUCUGGCAGCUGUGAAAACUUCCAAUAAGAAAGUUUGCAUUCUUAGAACAAUGCUGGGUCAUGUGUGAUGUGUCAUUAUAUGAGGAUAAUUACAUUUUGACUUAAUUCUGCUCAAUUAAGUGUUUUGUUCGUUGAUCCAAUAUGGCAGCUUUUUAUUGUGCUCCAAGUUAAAACUCAUUGUCCUCAUGAGCACAGCAUCUAACAACUCUCCUUAAAAAAGUCGAUUGACUUUAACUGGACACAAUGGUUUCCAGUGGGAGAUACAUUCAUCACUCAUCCGUGACACUGGAGAAGUCACCUGGAUGAGUGAUAAAACAAUUUUCCAUGGAAAAUCCAGAGGAACUAAACUUUGUUGUUGUUUCUUUGGGCUCAAUUUCAGCUCUAGCAGCAUCUCUCAGAAGAAAACCGUUUUGCAAAUAAUCAGAUAAAAAGAUUGUUGAACUAGGUGGUAUUCUCUGGAGUUUAAGACCAAAACUGAACUCAAACAGUGAAUUGACAUUAGACUGGAAUUCAUAAGAUGAAUAGAAAUACUGCUGAAGCUGAAUGAUUCAUUCAUGUAUAUAUAUGACUUUUUUUUUUCCCCAAUUCACCAGGUCUGUAAAGUUCAGUAUGACUGUGGUACAUGAUACAAAAGAAUAAAUACAGAAGAAUAAAAACUUUG